RNAcentral lists this ribosomal RNA (753 nucleotides) under uncultured Comamonadaceae bacterium. Its description in RNAcentral is "bacterial SSU rRNA". It matches the Rfam family "Bacterial small subunit ribosomal RNA", at positions 28 to 776 of the family's 1533-position model. The record is from RNAcentral. Lineage: Bacteria; Pseudomonadati; Pseudomonadota; Betaproteobacteria; Burkholderiales; Comamonadaceae.
AUUGAACGCUGGCGGCAUGCCUUACACAUGCAAGUCGAACGGCAGCACGGGAGCAAUCGUGGUGGCGAGUGGCGAACGGGUGAGUAAUACAUCGGAACGUGCCCAAUCGUGGGGGAUAACGCAGCGAAAGCUGUGCUAAUACCGCAUACGAUCUACGGAUGAAAGCAGGGGAUCGCAAGACCUUGCGCGAAUGGAGCGGCCGAUGGCAGAUUAGGUAGUUGGUGAGGUAAAGGCUCACCAAGCCGUCGAUCUGUAGCUGGUCUGAGAGGACGACCAGCCACACUGGGACUGAGACACGGCCCAGACUCCUACGGGAGGCAGCAGUGGGGAAUUUUGGACAAUGGGCGAAAGCCUGAUCCAGCCAUGCCGCGUGCAGGAUGAAGGCCUUCGGGUUGUAAACUGCUUUUGUACGGAACGAAACGGCCUUUUCUAAUAAAGAGGGCUAAUGACGGUACCGUAAGAAUAAGCACCGGCUAACUACGUGCCAGCAGCCGCGGUAAUACGUAGGGUGCAAGCGUUAAUCGGAAUUACUGGGCGUAAAGCGUGCGCAGGCGGUUAUGUAAGACAGUUGUGAAAUCCCCGGGCUCAACCUGGGAACUGCAUCUGUGACUGCAUAGCUAGAGUACGGUAGAGGGGGAUGGAAUUCCGCGUGUAGCAGUGAAAUGCGUAGAUAUGCGGAGGAACACCGAUGGCGGAGGCAAUCCCCUGGACCUGUACUGACGCUCAUGCACGAAAGCGUGGGGAGCAAACAGG